GACGAACGCUGGCGGCGUGCCUAACACAUGCAAGUCGUACGGGACUUGGGGGCAACUCCAAGUUCAGUGGCAGACGGGUGCGUAACACGUGAGCAACUUGUCCGACGGCGGGGGAUAGCCGGUCUAACGGCCGGGUAAUACCGCGUACGCUCGUUGGGGGGCGAUCUCCUGACGAGGAAAGCAGCCGCAAGGUUGCGCCGACGGAGGGACGUCGCGGCCUAUCAGCUAGUUGGCGGGGUAANGGCCCACCAAGGCGACGGGUAGCUGGUCUGAGAGGACGAUCAGCCACAUUGGGACUGAGACACGGCCCAGACUCCUACGGGAGGCAGCAGUGGGGAAUAUUGCGCAAUGGCCGCAAGGCUGACGCAGCGACGCCGCGUGUGGGAUGACGGCCU
Molecule: ribosomal RNA, 395 nt
Filed under: uncultured bacterium
Lineage: Bacteria
Description: bacterial SSU rRNA
Rfam family: Bacterial small subunit ribosomal RNA
Source: RNAcentral